Heterocephalus glaber (naked mole-rat) is the source of this 1917-nucleotide non-coding RNA. Lineage: Eukaryota; Metazoa; Chordata; Mammalia; Rodentia; Bathyergidae. The record is from RefSeq and is a predicted model, not a curated record.
CCCAGGCAGCACCUAAUGGACUCUAGGCAAGCAGUCUUCCACUGAGCUAUGUCCCCAGCACAAGGGAGAGUGUUUUUAAGGAAACAAAGAUGCUUCACAAAGAUCUGGAUCCAUGCACUGGAAAUCUGACCCCAAAAUCCUCUAUCUUGGGCCUGGGAUUUAGCUCAGUGGUUCUGCCACCUGCCUAGCAAGCGCAAGGUCCCGAGUUCAAUCUCCGGUACCAAAAAAAAAAAAAAAAUCCUCUAUCUGAUCUCAACUUUCCUGUGUGUCUACUUCACAUUCUGUUCUUUUCCUCUUCUUUAUCUUAUCCUCUGUCCUCUCCACUUUGUCCCCUCUUCUCUAUUCCUUCCUCUCUUCUCUCCUCCAGUCUCCCUUCCUCUCCUCCACCCUCAGCUUUUGUAAAGAAACAUGGCUUCCCUACAGCUCUUACAUUUACACAUUGCCGUGCUACCCAUAUAAGGAACUAAUUCUCCAACUCUCCUUCUGAAUUUCAGAUUACUAGCAGAAAAGAAUCUUGUUAACCCACCUGAAGACCCACUCAGUUAUGACCAGGAAGAGAUCAAACUCAGGACCUUGUGCUUGUGAUGCAGAUGGUGGAACCACUGAGGUAAAUCCCCGGCGCUUCGAUUGAAGAAGCAACUUCCUGCCAGCAGCAAGCAGCUUUCGGUGGAGGCUGGAGUCAUGUCUAUGCUGACCUACUUGUCAGAGGCCAGGCAGGAGUGUGCCGAAGGCCUAGGGACUGACAUCUUAGGCUCGCAGCCCGCAGAGAGCCAAGAGGAGAGCCUCUUUCACUGAGGUGCCCACAGUGACAUCAGAAGCUUGCUCCUCAGCCAACACUAGCAAGGCUGUGCAUGUGAGCAGCCUGGCUCCAGAACUGCUCCUGGCACGGGUUGGAAUCACUGGGCAGUAAAGCAAACUGGGACUCUCUCUAGACUUAUUUUGAAAGAAAGAACUUAAGGCCAAUCUUCCACCCAUCCUGAAGCUUGACUUUUGGCUCAAGGAGCUUCCUGUCUUGUUCCAGCUGUGACAUGUUGAAAGUAGACCUGGAAAUUUCAGACAAUUUUCUAUACUCUGUGAGCCUUUGCUGUGGCUCUAGCCCUUUGGAUUUUAGGAAAUAGGAUAGAUGGAGAGGAAAUGGGGUUAGGCCCUGAUAGGAAGAGAGAAUGGGGCCUUCUCAGGAUUCUUUUCUACUCCUUUGCUGUUCACAUCAUCUAAGAGAACAAAUUGCCUUGCCUACAUAUGUUUAAUCCAACUCUGCUCACAGGGAGGUAAUUGGGAAGGAGAGGCCUGGGUUGGGUGGGACAAAGAGCUUGUCAUAUCCUUGAUAACAGUGCACAAACCUGGAAGUUGAAUUCGAGAAACUAUUAUCUUAGCAGAAUUGCUGAAACCAGAGACAGAAGUUGAUUACAAUAGAGAUGAUCCAUUUUUCAUUAAGCUAUCAAGUAGGGCUGGGUAUGUAGCUCAGUGGUAGAGCACAUUGCCUAGCAUACACAAAGUUCUGGAAUCAAUCCUCAGAACUACUAAAAUGUAAAAUAAAUAAAUAAAAUAAAAUAAAAUAAAUUUAAAAAAUAAAAUAAAUCAUUAAGCUUUUUUAAAAUUAAAAAAUUGGUCAUCAUGCCCUUCUGUCCCAAUAUCAUCUAGCUAUAUCAUCUAGUGGCAGCUGAAGUAACUCCUGGCCCUUGCUAAAGAAAUAGACCCAGCUGCCAUGUUUUGCAUCAUGUGAUCCUGGUCUUGAUUUCCUAGCUGAUUGGACCAGAGUUGGGCACCUGAUUCAAGGGCAGUCAGUCCAUAGAUCGGCUAGAUUCCUAGGACCCAUAGUGAGAUGUAAAGAUACACUGGGCCAGUCAGAGUCUCAGUCUCUGUUUCUCUCUCUCUCUCUCUCUCUCUCUCUCUCUCUCUCUCUCUCUCUCAAACAGA